This is a long non-coding RNA of Cucumis melo (muskmelon), 1511 nucleotides long. RefSeq lists it as uncharacterized. The record is from RefSeq and is a predicted model, not a curated record. The transcript is spliced from 2 exons. NCBI's taxonomy places the organism in Eukaryota, Viridiplantae, Streptophyta, Magnoliopsida, Cucurbitales, Cucurbitaceae.
GAGGAAAAUACACCACGUGGUAACCGGCCGGCGGUAGGUUCACCAGUGGACCGGCGCACGCUUGCCAUAACUCCGGAUUUAUGAUCUUCUUCUCCAAUCCACCUGCAAUUCACCAUCUGUCAGUCGCUCAUUUACGAGAAAGAGAGAGAUAAAGAAAAAAGGGGAGAAACGUACCUUCGUUGGAAUUAGGAGCGGCGGCGGCACCGGCGGCACCAUUCGCCGGCGUCUUCAUUACUUGAACUUCCACAGGUGAUUGAAAUAGAUAUACAACCAAACCAAAACUAGAAACACUAACUGUAAUCUCACUGGCUCAUCUUCUCCGGCGAAAAGGAAAUUUCCCAGUAACUAAAACAGAUCGUAUAGCCAAAAGUACUGGAAAAAGUCAGCUUUAACAAUCACUCUGCCACUUCCUAGAUCACCUCCAAAAAGAAGGAAAGUCCUUCAAAUUUUCCCGGAAAAGUAAAAGGAGAAAAACAAUCAAAGAAAUGAACAAGGUCAACAACAACAACAACUAUGGAACUCCGGCGAAGGAUUCCGGCAAAGUCACCGGAAAAGAAAAUCGGAAAACUAAAAAGAAUCCCCCCCAAAAAAGAAAAACAAAACAAAAAAACAAAACAAAAAUGGAAAGAGGAGACAAAGAAGAAAAGAAAGGGUUUGGUUUUGCUUAGUUACAGAGAGACCAAAUGCUGAAGCUUUGUUCCCUAUCUUCCCCUACAAUCUCCAGACAACUUCUUCUCUCAAACACAUCAAAACUUUCCAUUUUUUUUUCUUCCCAAUGUUCUUCUUCUCCUUCUUCUUCUUCUUUGUUCUCUCAAAAACCCCCAAAAAAGAAAGGAAAACAAAAACAAAAAACAACCCUUUUUUUUCUCUUUCCUUGAAAUUAAACUAAGAACUUUCUCUUUCUUCUGCUUUAGCUUUGUUUGUCUUCUGUUUGAGUUUGCUUUCUCUUCUGGGUCCUUGAAAAUGGCAAUCUCUUUGUACUAUCUUUCUCUUUUCUCUUUGAAGGGGUUUGGUUUGGUUUUUUUUUCUUUUUUUUUUUUUUAAUUCACACCUUAAUCAUGGUUAAUCUUUGUAUAAAACUGUUUACUUAAUUCCCAAAAUGCCCUUCCAUCAUAAUCAACCAACCCACUAUCUAAAGAGAGAAAAAAUAAAUAAAUAAAGAGGACAAAAAUAAAAAAACAUUUAACUAGACAGCAUCAUGUGCUAAUUUUGACCAUUUUCUUGACCAUCACUAUCUCCAUGUUAUUAAUUGCUAUCCCCUUUCUCGCUAAAUUUUAUUAUCCCUUCCCCUUCCCCUCCCUUCCUCUCCCCCUUUUCUUUUUAUUUCUUUUUUCAUUUUAAUUGUCUUUUCAAGUAAAAAAGGGAAAACAAAUUAUGGCUUCACUAAACUCUCUUUAGUAACCUUAUGCGGUGUUUGGCUCCAACUUCAACUGAGCUGUGUAAACUAAGGUAGUUUACUCCAUCUUUGGAGUUUUAAUUAUAAUAAUCUACGAUUAUUUGCACUUUUACUA